This is a long non-coding RNA of Telopea speciosissima, 161 nucleotides long. RefSeq lists it as uncharacterized. The transcript is spliced from 3 exons. Lineage: Eukaryota; Viridiplantae; Streptophyta; Magnoliopsida; Proteales; Proteaceae. The record is from RefSeq and is a predicted model, not a curated record.
GAUAGGAUUAUAUCCAAUAGGUUGGUGUUGGAGAAAGAAGUUGUCAAUAUAAUCAGCGCUUAUGCACCUCAAGUAGGAUUGGAAGAAAGUAAUAAGAUACAAUUUUGGGACCACAUAGAUGGAUUAGUGUAAAGUUUUAGACUUUUAGUCAAGGAAAAAAG